Long non-coding RNA from Oxyura jamaicensis (ruddy duck), 2026 nucleotides. RefSeq lists it as uncharacterized. The record is from RefSeq and is a predicted model, not a curated record. Lineage: Eukaryota; Metazoa; Chordata; Aves; Anseriformes; Anatidae. The transcript is spliced from 2 exons.
AAAAUGAAUGUACAUGUCCUCACUGAUGUAUUAAUUGGUGAGGAGAACUGCACCUCACAUCGCAGCUUGCCUGUAAAACUUGACUGACUUUCAAGAAGCCACGAAUUAGAGAUUAGUUGAUACUGCAUUCAUGACUCAUGCUAGGACUUCAGAAAGUGGUCUGAGCACGCUGAAGUUCACCAGGGGCAGAAAGGACAGGUGCUUCUCCCACACACACCCCAGCCCCUGGCCAUGGCCUCCUGAUGCUUCCCGCGAGCCAGCUCAGGUACUCUGCUGAGCACGUGGUACGCUAACGCUCAAAAUAGCAAAAUAGGAAUUUGGCACGCACCUAAGUGCGUGGGUUCUGCUCGGUUAGCAAGCGGAGCUGGUCACCCUGCAGCCAGAUCUGGUAAGGCUGCGAGCUGGGGAAAGGAAGGUCCCGUGUCCCCUUUGCAGCACAGAAGGGAAAUGCAGAGAGAGAGCAAGACCUCCCUCUCAGCAAGCUGCUAGGUCAGGCCAGCCAUAACCCGAAACUUCGCCAUCAGUCAUGUAAACAAGAUACUAGCAGAGAUGACUCAAGUGGCUAUUAAUAGCCUUUCAUAAUAUAUAAGUACUUAUUUUAAGAAACUGAAAAAAAAAAAAAACUUCAAAUGACAGAUUUCUGGAAGCCGCUUACAGCUGAUAGCCACAGGAACUAGAACAGCAGAAACUGAACCUGAAGAUGUAGCUAUUGCCAAGCGCUGGGAAGUGUCGCAGUGCUCCCACCACAACAGUUCAACAGGCUAUCAGACUGUGUCAAAAUGAUCACUUAUCUGUUUUUUAAAUUUAAAAACAUUUUUAAGUUCCAACACACGAAAACAUCACAGGCCAGAUAAGCAUCUUGUUAAAUAAGCCAUCAUAAGGGCUGAAAUACGAAAUUUUCUCUGUGCCUCCAACAAGUAGCUACAAGCAGAAUUAAUAGUACUCCUUGAAAUGAAAAACAAGAGAUAACCAUCAGGUACUACAUGUUUUUUUCAUUUUCAGGAAGUGAAUUUUCAUAAAGGGAAAGGGGUUAAGUACUGCACUGUUUUAGUCUUCUUUGUUAAUCCACCCACAUAAAAAUUAGACCUCCCACACGCACAUUCAUAUACUCCAAAAGCUUUGAUCAUGCCAGAUGUAAAUAUUUCUUCUAGUAGCCUAUUACGUGUCCUCAAACUAUACAAUUGUUCUCUGUUAAACUCUCAGCAAUAUUAUGGAGAGCUGAAAGGAUAUAUUAAGAGCAUACACAGAAGAUUUCAGCGACAACCGUGAUAAAAUAUAGGCAAAAGAGAAAAGCAGAACAGAUUCCUUGCUUAAGAAGCCAUUUUGUAAUUGUUUUUAUAUUGGAAACUGUUAACUGAAGUUAAUUUUAGAACAAAGGGUAAUGCAAUUUGUAUAAAUGUAUACACUGUGUUCAGAACAAAUGCAAAGAGAAACACUACAGGGGAGCUUGGUGCAAUAGUCCUGAGAGGAAGCCUCACAACAAAUAGCGUACCAACAGCGAGGAUAUUUGCAAGCAAAACGUAAAGGAUACAUUGACAUUAAAAUUACAGGAAGUAUUUUAGGUAGACCCGGCAUAUUCUAAUGUGGUAAAAUCUUUUUUUUUUUUCCCUCCACAAAGUGCUGCCUACCUACCUAGGUAUACCCCCUGCUGCAUCACUAUCAGUGCAGUACCUCGUAACACCCUGGUGAAGUACGCAGUUCUGUGCUAAAGGGUGGGACAAUGCAGAGUAACGCAUAUUGCUCUAAGUAAGCUGUAGCUAUUAAGCACGUCUGAGUAGAGAAGACCCUUGCCAACUGACUACAAAACAUCUGAGGAGUACAUGCCAUUUACCAAAUCUACAUGUUUAUGAGCAGAGGAACAAAAAGUAAGAUGGGAACCUCAGCAAUUCAGUCUUCAUGUCUGUACUGAUUGACACCUUAUUAUUAAAUAGUAUGGGGAGAGGCUGUUUUUAAGUAAAGAUGAUUUACAUUUCAUUUUUAUUUUUGUUUAAUUUCACUUAUUAAAAAGGAUGACAUUUGAAAGGAA